UACGAAAGGGGCUAGCGUUGUUCGGAAUUACUGGGCGUAAAGCGCACGUAGGCGGCCUUGUAAGUUGGGGGUGAAAUCCCGGGGCUCAACCCCGGAACUGCCUUCAAGACUGCAAAGCUAGAGGACGGGAGAGGUGAUCGGAAUUCCGAGUGUAGAGGUGAAAUUCGUAGAUAUUCGGAAGGACACCAGUGGCGAAGGCGGCUAACUGGCCCGGUACUGACGCUGAGGUGCGAAAGCGUGCGGAGCAAACAGG
Molecule: ribosomal RNA, 253 nt
Filed under: uncultured bacterium
Lineage: Bacteria
Description: partial 16S ribosomal RNA
Rfam family: Bacterial small subunit ribosomal RNA
Source: RNAcentral